GCGGCUUGGUUUACCCGGUUAAAUGAAAAUAUUCCGAGGAACCAGGUUUCCUCGGAAUUUCCUCGGAAUUUACCGAGGAAAUUCUGAGGAACCAGGGUUUGGGGUUUCAAAACAUCGAUUAUUUUCGCCGUAUUUCAUUUCUUAUACAAUUAUAAUGCAUACCAUUGAGGAUUCUUUGUAUAGAUGAUCAUAAACCAUGAAAUAACAAAAUUUCAAAAAUAAUUGUAAGUAUUCCCUUUACCGUUUGUUAAAGUGUAUAAGUGUUUCUCUUAUGUUGUGUGGUUUUCGUUCAUGCAAUCGUAAAAGUGUUUGUUAUUGGGUAAAACACCAAAGUUUGACUUCAUAAUCUGGUUAAGACACUUAAUGAAGGUUAUAUACGUGUUAUUCAAUCCGUAAAACGUUGUUUUCGGUUUAAAACCCCAAGUUCCUCG
RNAcentral lists this long non-coding RNA (431 nucleotides) under Brassica napus (rape). Its description in RNAcentral is "long non-coding RNA (BNAP_LNC005554)". Lineage: Eukaryota; Viridiplantae; Streptophyta; Magnoliopsida; Brassicales; Brassicaceae. The record is from RNAcentral.